AACGCUAGCUACAGGCUUAACACAUGCAAGUCGAGGGGCAUCAGGAAGAAAGCUUGCUUUCUUUGCUGGCGACCGGCGCACGGGUGAGUAACACGUAUCCAACCUGCCCUUUACUCGGGGAUAGCCUUUCGAAAGAAAGAUUAAUACCCGAUAGCAUAAUGAUUCCGCAUGGUUUCAUUAUUAAAGGAUUCCGGUAAAGGAUGGGGAUGCGUCCCAUUAGGUUGUUGGUGAGGUAACGGCCCACCAAGCCUUCGAUGGAUAGGGGUUCUGAGAGGAAGGUCCCCCACAUUGGAACUGAGACACGGUCCAAACUCCUACGGGAGGCAGCAGUGAGGAAUAUUGGUCAAUGGGCGCUAGCCUGAACCAGCCAAGUAGCGUGAAGGAUGAAGGCUCUAUGGGUCGUAAACUUCUUUUAUAUAAGAAUAAAGUGCAGUAUGUAUACUGUUUUGUAUGUAUUAUAUGAAUAAGGAUCGGCUAACUCCGUGCCAGCAGCCGCGGUAAUACGGAGGAUCCGAGCGUUAUCCGGAUUUAUUGGGUUUAAAGGGAGCGUAGGUGGACUGGUAAGUCAGUUGUGAAAGUUUGCGGCCCAACCGUAAAAUUGCAGUUGAUACUGUCAGUCUUGAGUACAGUAGAGGUGGGCGGAAUUCGUGGUGUAGCGGUGAAAUGCUUAGAUAUCACGAAGAACUCCGAUUGCGAAGGCAGCUCACUGGACUGCAACUGACACUGAUGCUCGAAAGUGUGGGUAUCAAACAGGAUUAGAUACCCUGGUAGUCCACACAGUAAACGAUGAAUACUCGCUGUUUGCGAUAUACAGUAAGCGGCCAAGCGAAAGCAUUAAGUAUUCCACCUGGGGAGUACGCCGGCAACGGUGAAACUCAAAGGAAUUGACGGGGGCCCGCACAAGCGGAGGAACAUGUGGUUUAAUUCGAUGAUACGCGAGGAACCUUACCCGGGCUUAAAUUGCAGUGGAAUGAUGUGGAAACAUGUCAGUGAGCAAUCACCGCUGUGAAGGUGCUGCAUGGUUGUCGUCAGCUCGUGCCGUGAGGUGUCGGCUUAAGUGCCAUAACGAGCGCAACCCUUAUCUUUAGUUACUAACAGGUUAUGCUGAGGACUCUGGAGAGACUGCCGUCGUAAGAUGUGAGGAAGGUGGGGAUGACGUCAAAUCAGCACGGCCCUUACGUCCGGGGCUACACACGUGUUACAAUGGGGGGUACAGAAGGCAGCUAGCGGGUGACCGUAUGCUAAUCCCAAAAGCCUCUCUCAGUUCGGAUCGAAGUCUGCAACCCGACUUCGUGAAGCUGGAUUCGCUAGUAAUCGCGCAUCAGCCACGGCGCGGUGAAUACGUUCCCGGGCCUUGUACACACCGCCCGUCAAGCCAUGGGAGCCGGGGGUACCUGAAGUACGUAACCGCAAGGAUCGUCCUAGGGUAAAACUGGUGACUGGG
This 1444-nucleotide ribosomal RNA is filed under the name uncultured organism. RNAcentral describes it as "SSU rRNA". It matches the Rfam family "Bacterial small subunit ribosomal RNA". The record is from RNAcentral.